CCCGGUGCUCCAAGACAGAACCCCCGGGUACACUCUGUCCUUGACACAGUGGCUGGCUAGUGCUUCACCCUCCUUGGUCUCACUGAGUGGUCAAGUUGCCCAGGCUGAGCUCGAACUUGCAAUCUUCCUGCCUCAGUCUCCUAAAUUCUGAGAUCACAGGUGUGAGCCAGCAGGUAUGGCUUAGUAUUUUCAAACUAAGAUUAAAAAG
RNAcentral lists this long non-coding RNA (208 nucleotides) under Chinchilla lanigera (long-tailed chinchilla). Its description in RNAcentral is "lncRNA (ENSCLAG00000025319.1)". Lineage: Eukaryota; Metazoa; Chordata; Mammalia; Rodentia; Chinchillidae. The record is from RNAcentral.